Molecule: ribosomal RNA, 897 nt
Filed under: uncultured bacterium
Lineage: Bacteria
Description: bacterial SSU rRNA
Rfam family: Bacterial small subunit ribosomal RNA
Source: RNAcentral
AGAGUUUGAUCAUGGCUCAGAAUAAACGUUGGCGGUGCGCCUUAUGCAUGCAAGUCGAACGGUCGAGUAUGUAACUUGUUAUGUGCUCGGUAGUGGCGAACGGCUGGGUAACACGUAAGUAACCUGCCUUUGAGUGGGAAAUAACCUGUCGAAAGGCAAGCUAAUGUCCCAUAUGGUAACCGGGCAAAAGCCUGGUUAUCAAAGCCUUCGGGUGCUCGAAGAGGGGCUUGCGUCUGAUUAGCUAGUUGGUGGGGUAACGGCCUAUCAAGGCGAUGAUCGGUAGCUGGUCUGAGAGGAUGGUCAGCCAGAUGGGGACUGCGACACGGCCCCAACUCCUACGGGAGGCAGCAGCAAGGAAUUUUGGGCAAUGAGCGAAAGCUUGACCCAGCGACACCGCGUGAGGGAGGAAGGCCUUCGGGUUGUAAACCUCUCUUCUUGGGGAAGAAUUCUGACGGUACCCAAGGAAUAAGCCUCGGCCAACUACGUGCCAGCAGCCGCGGUAAUACGUAGGAGGCGAACGUUAUUCGGAUUUACUGGGCGUAAAGAGAGCGUAGGCGGUUCCUUAAGUCGGGUGUGAAAUAUUCUGACUCAAUCAGAAGGCGUCAUACGAUACUGUGGGACUUGAGAGCAGCAGAGGGAAAUGGAAUCCCCAGUGUAGCGGUGAAAUGCGUAGAUAUUGGGGAGAACACCAGUGGCGAAGGCGAUCUUCCAGGCUGUUUCUGACGCUGAGGCUCGAAAGCGUGGGUAGCAAAGCGGUUUAGAUAUCCGCGUAGUCCACGCCGUAAACGGUGGACACUAGGUAUAGGAGGUAUCGACCCUUUCUGUGUCGAAGCUAACGCUUUAAGUGUCCCGCCUGGGGAGUACGGCCGCAAGGCUAAAACUCAAAUGAAUUGACGG